This 406-nucleotide unclassified non-coding RNA is filed under the name uncultured Rhizophagus. RNAcentral's name for it is "sequence contains 28S rRNA gene". Lineage: Eukaryota; Fungi; Glomeromycota; Glomeromycetes; Glomerales; Glomeraceae. The record is from RNAcentral.
AGUUAAACAGUACGUGAAAUUGUUGAAAGGGAAACGAUUGAAGCCAGUCGUACCUUCGGGUAAUCAGCCUUUCGGGUGCGAUUCUGUGGAGUUUGAGGAGCUUAACACCUUCAUGCUUUGCAUAUUCGUGCUCUUGGGUGUACUUGCCCGUGUGGUUGGUUAACAUCAAUUUCGGGCACCAUAAAAUGGCUGGAGGAAUGUAGCUUCGAUCUUGUAUUGAAGUGUUAUAGCCUUCGGUAGAUGUGGUGAUCGAGAUUGAGGAUUGCAACGGAUACCUUUCGGGGCUACCUGUCUGAUCUCUGAUCGUUGCUUUGGUGCUGAAAGCGUGCUUAUAGUUAUCAAAGUCGAUGGUCAAUAGGUUAGAAUGGGUUAAAUUCGUUAAGGAUGUUGACGUAAUGGCUUUAAA